AACAAACGCUGGCGGCGUGCCUAAUACAUGCAAGUCGAACGGGGAAAGUAGCAAUACGAGUACUAGUGGCGCACGGGUGAGGAAUACAUGGGUAAUCUGCCCUCGAGCUCGGGAUAACCAGUCGAAAGACUGGCUAAUACCGGAUAUGACCACAAGAUCUGAGGAUCAAGGGGUAAAAGGUUUUUCGCCUGAGGAUGAGCCCAUGUGGGAUUAGCUAGUUGGUGUAGGUAACGGCUCACCAAGGCGACGAUCCCUAACUGGUCUUAGAGGAUGAUCAGUCACACUGGAACUGAGACACGGUCCAGACUCCUACGGGAGGCAGCAGUAGGGAAUAUUGCACAAUGGAGGAAACUCUGAUGCAGCGACGCCGCGUGAGUGAUGAAGGCCUCGGGUCGUAAAGCUCUGUCGUAUGGGACUAACAAAAUAGAAGGUACCAUGCAAGAAAGGAUCGGCUAACUUCGUGCCAGCAGCCGCGGUAAU
Molecule: ribosomal RNA, 480 nt
Filed under: uncultured bacterium
Lineage: Bacteria
Description: bacterial SSU rRNA
Rfam family: Bacterial small subunit ribosomal RNA
Source: RNAcentral